GACGAACGCUGGCGGCGUGCUUAACACAUGCAAGUCGAACGGAAAGGCCCUGCUUUUGUGGGGUGCUCGAGUGGCGAACGGGUGAGUAACACGUGAGUAACCUGCCCUUGACUUUGGGAUAACUUCAGGGAACUGGGGCUAAUAACGGAUAGGAGCUCCUGCUGCAUGGUGGGGGUUGGAAAGUUUCGGCGGUUGGGGAUGGACUCGCGGCUUAUCAGCUUGUUGGUGGGGUAGUGGCUUACCAAGGCUUUGACGGGUAGCCGGCCUGAGAGGGUGACCGGCCACAUUGGGACUGAGAUACGGCCCAGACUCCUACGGGAGGCAGCAGUGGGGAAUAUUGCACAAUGGGCGGAAGCCUGAUGCAGCAGCGCCGCGUGCGGGAUGACGGCCUUCGGGUUGUAAACCGCUUUCGCCUGUGACGAAGCGUGAGUGACGGUAAUGGGUAAAGAAGCACCGGCUAACUACGUG
Molecule: ribosomal RNA, 468 nt
Filed under: uncultured bacterium
Lineage: Bacteria
Description: partial 16S ribosomal RNA
Rfam family: Bacterial small subunit ribosomal RNA
Source: RNAcentral